GCCGUAACUAUAACGGUCCUAAGGUAGCGAAAUUCCUUGUCGGGUAAGUUCCGACCUGCACGAAUCGUGCAACGAGUUGGGCGCUGUCUCGACCAGGUGCUCAGUGAAAUUGUAGUUCCGGUGAAGAUGCCGGACACCCGCAGAAGGACGGAAAGACCCUAUAGACCUUAACUGUAAGCUGUUAUUGGUUGUUCGAUCUUAAUGCUCAGCAUAAGUGGGAGACAUUGAAGGGUGCGUUUAGGCGCAUCUGGAGUCAUCAGUGAGAUACCACCCUUUAAUAUUGGAUAAUCUAACCCCGAGCCGUCAUCCGGCCGUGGGGACAAUGGCAGCCGGUCAGUUUUACUGGGGCGGUAUCCUCCUAAAGAGUAACGGAGGAGCGCGAAGGUGGGCUCAGCACAGUUGGCAACUGUGUGUUGAGUGUAAAGGCACAAGCCCGCCUAACUGUGAGACCUACAAGUCGAGCAGAUACGAAAGUAGGCCUUAGUGAUCCGGCGGUAGAAUGUGGAAUUGCCGUCGCUCAACGGAUAAAAGGUACCUUAGGGAUAACAGGCUUAUCACGCCCAAGAGUUCAUAUCGACGGCGUGGUUUGGCACCUCGAUGUCGGCUCAUCGCAUCCUGGGGCUGGAGAAGGUCCCAAGGGUUUGGCUGUUCGCCAAUUAAAGCGGUACGCGAGCUGGGUUUAGACCGUCGUGAGACAGGUCGGUCCCUAUCUGUCGUGGGUGUACGAGAUUUGAGGAGAUCUUCCCCUAGUACGAGAGGAUUGGGGAGGACGGACCUCUGGUGUUCCUGUUGUCGUGUCAACGGCAUCGCAGGGUAGCUACGUCCGGGAAGGAUAAGCGCUGAAGGCAUAUAAGCGCGAAGCCCCCUUCAAAACUAGAUCUCGCAUGAGACUCCUGGAAGACCACCAGGUUGAUAGGCCGGGUGUGUAAGCACAGCAAUGUGUUCAGCUGACCGGUACUAAUAAGUCGAUCGGCUUGACCGCU
This 983-nucleotide ribosomal RNA is filed under the name Planctomycetota bacterium. RNAcentral describes it as "Planctomycetes bacterium (marine metagenome) partial 23S ribosomal RNA". It matches the Rfam family "Bacterial large subunit ribosomal RNA", at positions 1933 to 2925 of the family's 2925-position model. The record is from RNAcentral. Lineage: Bacteria; Pseudomonadati; Planctomycetota.